Molecule: long non-coding RNA, 362 nt
Filed under: Amborella trichopoda
Lineage: Eukaryota; Viridiplantae; Streptophyta; Magnoliopsida; Amborellales; Amborellaceae
Description: long non-coding RNA (ATRI_LNC003886)
Source: RNAcentral
GGGAUGGAGCAGGCGCUCUAGUCUGGUCUUAAUAGCUAGAAGUUUGAUGCUUGAUGCUUCCUAGCAUUGUUGUAAUGGUUUCCAAUUUAGAUUUAUAUUCUCGCAUGCGAAGAGUACGGAGACUUGCAUGUCGCUUGGGUAUGUACAUCGUUUGUCUCAUGGUGAGGGGGGGAGAACAUACUGUUGUGGUGUGGUGGAAUGUAGCAUUUAUCUUUCGGUGUCCCAUCAUGGGUCUAUCCCCCUUAUGAGAAAACUUCAUACUAUUGUGGUGGCGUAUGUGGUGUACAUCUUUUGUUUUAUUGGUUGGGAAAAUGUGUACAUCUUUUGUUUUAUUAGUUGGAAAAAGGUUUUGAUGAUGAUGG